Long non-coding RNA from Epinephelus fuscoguttatus (brown-marbled grouper), 415 nucleotides. RefSeq lists it as uncharacterized. The record is from RefSeq and is a predicted model, not a curated record. NCBI's taxonomy places the organism in Eukaryota, Metazoa, Chordata, Actinopteri, Perciformes, Serranidae. The transcript is spliced from 3 exons.
AAGGGCUGACAAGGGCAACAUGUUUUGGAAUAGUGAGCAAACUACUAGAUAAAUGAGAUAUAAUGAAAGUUUUGGUGUUGUUAAACACGUUGAUGAUGAUGUCAAUUCAUCAACUAUUUUUGGAUUCUUUGUUCACCGCGGAGGCAUGAGAGAAAAACAAAGUUUUCUUCAUGAAUUCAACUUCACAGGGAGGAGCAGCCAUCACACUGCCAUGAGUCAUGGGUGGAUUAUGAGACAGCGGACCCUUACGUGGCCCCACCAACCCUCUUACAAAGGAACUGGCGUCAUCCUCCUCUCCGUGCCUCUCUUUGCCCUGGCUGAUGUACAUCCUCUCCAGCUCGGCCAUGUUCCUCAGGUGAGCAGCCUUCAGCUCCUCCAGCCUCCUGUAGUACUCCUGGUUGGAGAAGUAAACGUG